UUUAUUGAUUACUGUUAGCAGAUUAACAAUCUCCAAGACAAACUUGUAGUUGCUAUGUGAAGGAGGCAUGAGGAAAGUAUGUUUUAAUUCUUUAUUAAUUACAAUUUAUUCACUUUGUAUUCCCCCUGUGGUUCCCUCCCUCCUCUUGUCCCAAUCCCUCCCUUCCUCCCCCUCUGCACACAUGCCUCUCCCCAAGUCCACUGAUACCGGAGGUCUUCUUUUCCUUCUUUCUGAUCUUAGUCAAUUAGGUCUCAACAGGAGUGGCUGCAUUGUCUUCUUCUGUGACCUGGUAAGGUUGCUCCCCCGUCAGGUGAUUUAAGAGCAGGCCAAUCAGUUCAUGUCAGAGACAGUCCCCUGUUUCUAUUAUUAUGGAACCCACUUGGAUACUGAACUGCCAUGGGCUACAUCUGUGCAGGGGUCUUAGGUUAUCUCCAUGCAUGGUCCUUGGUUGGAGUAUCAGUCUCAGGAAAGACUCCUGUGCUCAGAUAUUUUGGGUUCUGUUGCUCACCUCCUCUCUACUUUAGAGUCCUUUGCUGUGUACAAGACUCAGGGGAACAGCAGAGUUUCUAUUACUCUGGGGAAUACUGCAUCCUGGACAUGAUUUUCUUAUGCCCGAGUUGUGGCUUUACAGCGUCCCAACAGGAUGCAACAUCAUGAAGGACCAAACCCUCAGUUAUUUUGAUCACAUGUCUUUUCUGUGAAAAGCACUGAAGACCACAGAGGAGACUAAGGAGACAAGACAACUCCAUGUAGUUGUCUGUGUUGGUGCCCUUAUGCUGUUCUUCACUGUCCACACAACAAAUGCUCAGCUGUUUCUCUCAGAGGAGUCCCUGAGUCCAGGGAUGGUGGAUAAAGCAGAUUUGUCUGGUUCGAUGUUGAGGUCUUUGAUCCACUUGGACAUUUGUUUUGUACAGUGUGAUAAAGAUGGAUCUAAUUACACUCUUCUGCAUGCAGACAUCCAAUUAGUCCAGCAGCAUUUGUUGAAGAUACUUUCUCCACUCCA
Meriones unguiculatus (Mongolian gerbil) is the source of this 1003-nucleotide long non-coding RNA. RefSeq lists it as uncharacterized. The transcript has 3 exons. The record is from RefSeq and is a predicted model, not a curated record. Lineage: Eukaryota; Metazoa; Chordata; Mammalia; Rodentia; Muridae.